CUGCAUGCAAUGUUUUUGUCCGGAGACAGGAGUAACAACUGCAGAUUAUGAGUUACCUGCGUGCUGUGAAAGCAUUUCUGCAAACAUCCUGUGGAUAUUUGUUCUGGGUCACAUUUUGUGACUUCAGAUAUUGUGUCUACGUGGUGUGCUGUAAACUGUGAAGUCACUGGUGGAUAGGCGACAGGAAGUGUUAGAGAGAGAGAGAUGGGGGGAGGGGAUCGGGAAAGGUCCGCGAGUGGGACUCCAACUCGGGUCACCCGAAGCACAACUAUAUGUCGGCACGCUGCCCACGAGGCUAUCGACACUGACAAAUGUUAAUAUUUGUUGAUUAGAAGCAAGACUUCAAUUAGUGUAAAUCAUUAAUAAAUAGUAUAUGUGUCGAAAA
Molecule: long non-coding RNA, 385 nt
Organism: Megalobrama amblycephala (Wuchang bream)
Lineage: Eukaryota; Metazoa; Chordata; Actinopteri; Cypriniformes; Xenocyprididae
Exons: 3
Source: RefSeq, a predicted model, not a curated record